Molecule: long non-coding RNA, 1709 nt
Filed under: Lonchura striata (white-rumped munia)
Lineage: Eukaryota; Metazoa; Chordata; Aves; Passeriformes; Estrildidae
Description: domestica (Bengalese finch) lncRNA (ENSLSDG00000006337.1)
Source: RNAcentral
GGGCCAGAAGCAAUGGAUUGUGCUCCUGAGAGACUGCAGUUGUUCUCUAAUCUCUUUUCAGACAGAGCACUGAGCAGGGAUAUGAAUGAGGAAGACAAGCAGAUAGUUAAGAAUGGUGUAAAUCAGGAAGAAGUGACCCAGGAUACAGAAGGUGGAAAUGGGGGGCAGCCCAACAACUCUUCCAGCAGCACUAAAGAAGACAAAACUGCUGAUGAACCUGUCAUGGAACCAGGAACGGACUUGGAACAGUGCAUAGCUGCAGAGGAAGAUCCUAAAGCAUAACCAAAUUAUUGCGUUGUUGCCCAAAGAAAUAUGGAAGAGAAGCAAUAGAAAUCAAUGAUGAAGGAGGUGCUACCUUUUCCCUUGAAGGGCUUCCACAAGCAAUGAAGUUGUCAGAGCUUCAUCGAGAAGUAUUUGAAAGUAUUUUAAAGACUGAACUGUUUCCAGUGCCUAUUUUUCUGUUCCUUAGGAAUGACAGCCUUCUUUUUCUAGUGCUACUAUGUGAAAACACAUAGGCCAAACCAUGGACAAAAUCUUUUCAAUUGUUGUAUAUGAUUUUAACAAACCAUAUGGUUCAGCAUUUAACAAACCUUAUGGUUUGUUAUAUGGUUUGUUUUAUAGUUAUUUUUACUAACACACUAAAGCCUCUUUGUAGUUGAUAUUUAGAGAUUUAAAGUUUUAUAUAUUUGCAUGAAUGUGGAAAAAUCAAAAACUGGUCAGCUUUCACUUUUUUAUCAGUGCCUUUUACAGUCAGAAAAAACCUUCAUCCUUCAGCAGGUCCAGAUGGGUGGAAGUUUGCAUUUUCUAAUCUUGGUUCUAGACAAAGCUAUGUCCUAGAGUUGCUAGAUGCCUGGCAAACUGAUCAUGUCCUGACAGUCUUUCAUUCUGUGAUAAAAUUACAUUUCAACUUGUUGCACUGAUUAUUAACAACAGGUUUGGGCUUUUCCUAAAGCUUUUUAUAUUUUUUUAACUUUUAGGCUUUUUAAGCCUUUGCACUUCAUAUUUUCUAAGAAUGUCAUCUCACUACUACUCAUUCCUAGGAAAUAAUAGUAUGUUUUUAAGUUGAUUGAGAGUAGAACAAAAACUUGAAAACUGGGGUUGUGUAUAUAAUGAAUUUUAAAAAGAAUCAAAAAGAAAAACACCAUGCAUUAAUGCUUCCAGAACAUCAAGCUAUGGAGUGUUUUUCAUUAUGUUUACAUGCUGGUUGUUUAUGAAAGUUGAAAGCCAGUUUAGUUGAGUUUGAGCAUGGUAUAUAUAAAGAAUCAUGAAGGUUUGACACUGGUAACCAGAGAUCAGAAGCUUCAGGUUUUCCCUUGUUUCAAUUUAUGCCCUUUCCACUCCCUCAAUUUCUUGUUCUAUUUGAAGCUGUACUGCACAAGUCUACAGAUUGUACACUGUACAUUCAAGCCACAUUUGGCAGGACUUCUGUCUACUACUUUUUGUAAAUAUUUAUAAUUUAUUAAAAAAAUACUUAAGUUGUAAAAAACUUUGUCAUGUCUUCUUGUAAUAUAUACAUGCGUUUUUUAAAUUUAACCUUAAAAGUUACUAACUGAUCCCCAAAAUAAUCUUAACCAGAGUGAUGUAUUUUAUACGGGUUUUUAUUUGUUUGUUUGGUUGCUGUGUUUUGGAAGAUCAGUAUUCCUGACCCAAGUGUCCUUCCCUGUUCCACCUUCAAUAAAUUUAUCAGGAUAAUGCUGUCUGCUUCUUAA